This 406-nucleotide ribosomal RNA is filed under the name Candida albicans. Its description in RNAcentral is "eukaryotic LSU rRNA". The stretch from base 110 to 263 matches the Rfam family "5.8S ribosomal RNA". Lineage: Eukaryota; Fungi; Ascomycota; Pichiomycetes; Serinales; Debaryomycetaceae. The record is from RNAcentral.
UUCUUUGAAACAAACUUGCUUUGGCGGUGGGCCCAGCCUGCCGCCAGAGGUCUAAACUUACAACCAAUUUUUUAUCAACUUGUCACACCAGAUUAUUACUAAUAGUCAAAACUUUCAACAACGGAUCUCUUGGUUCUCGCAUCGAUGAAGAACGCAGCGAAAUGCGAUACGUAAUAUGAAUUGCAGAUAUUCGUGAAUCAUCGAAUCUUUGAACGCACAUUGCGCCCUCUGGUAUUCCGGAGGGCAUGCCUGUUUGAGCGUCGUUUCUCCCUCAAACCGCUGGGUUUGGUGUUGAGCAAUACGACUUGGGUUUGCUUGAAAGACGGUAGUGGUAAGGCGGGAUCGCUUUGACAAUGGCUUAGGUCUAACCAAAAACAUUGCUUGCGGCGGUAACGUCUACCACGUA